This 907-nucleotide ribosomal RNA is filed under the name Dicranidion fragile. RNAcentral describes it as "LSU rRNA". It matches the Rfam family "Eukaryotic large subunit ribosomal RNA", at positions 38 to 967 of the family's 3401-position model. Lineage: Eukaryota; Fungi; Ascomycota; Orbiliomycetes; Orbiliales; Orbiliaceae. The record is from RNAcentral.
GCAUAUCAAUAAGCGGAGGAAAAGAAACCAACAGGGAUUGCCUCAGUAACGGCGAGUGAAGCGGCAAGAGCUCAAAUUUGAAAUCUGGUGCCUUCGGUGCCCGAGUUGUAAUUUGAAGAGGAUGCCUCGGUUGUGGCCCCGGCCUAAGUUCCUUGGAACAGGACGUCGCAGAGGGUGAGAAUCCCGUACGCGGCUGGCGGCUUACUUCCAUGUGUGGCUCCCUCGAAGAGUCGAGUUGUUUGGGAAUGCAGCUCAAAAUGGGUGGUAAAUUUCAUCUAAAGCUAAAUACUGGCGAGAGACCGAUAGCGCACAAGUAGAGUGAUCGAAAGAUGAAAAGCACUUUGAAAAGAGAGUUAAACAGUACGUGAAAUUGUUGAAAGGGAAGCGCUUGCAAUCAGACUCGCUCUCAGUUGAUCAACGUUCCUUCUGGUUCGUGCACUCUUCUGUCUGCGGGCCAGCAUCGGUUGGGACGGCGGGACAAAGGCACCGGGAAUGUGGCCCUUCGGGGUGUUAUAGCCCGGCGCGCAAUGCCGCCUGCCCCGACCGAGGUCCGCGCUCCGGCUAGGAUGCUGGCUUAAUGGUUGUAAGCGACCCGUCUUGAAACACGGACCAAGGAGUCUAACAUCUAUGCGAGUUUUUGGGUGCAAAACCCAUGAGCGCAAUGAAAGUGAACGGAGGUGGGAGCCUUAGGGUGCACCAUCGACCGAUCCUGAUGUUCUCGGAUGGAUUUGAGUAUGAGCAUAGCUGUUGGGACCCGAAAGAUGGUGAACUAUGCCUGAAUAGGGUGAAGCCAGAGGAAAACUCUGGUGGAGGCUCGCAGCGGUUCUGACGUGCAAAUCGAUCGUCAAAUUUGGGUAUAGGGGCGAAAGACUAAUCGAACCAUCUAGUAGCUGGUUCCUGCCGAAGU